AGUUAAUUAUUUUUAUUUUUUGUAGAGACCGUGUCUCCCUAUGUUGCCCAGGAAAAGGAAACUUAAUAAGCUUGGACGAAUAUGCUUCAACUCUAGAAUUCUGAAAAAAAUCAGAAAACUAAAAACUUCUGAAGCUCUAUUUGAAAUCUUGCUUCAAAUUGAGCUCUAAAGUUCCUGUUGCUUCAGACAAUGGAUGAGCAAUCACAAGGAAUGCAAGGGCCGCCCGUUCCUCAGUUCCAACCACAGGCAGGGGAGAAGGAGAAAGAGAAGGAGUUUCUUGCUGUCUCACGGAAGGGAGAAGUAGAAGAAAAUCUACAUAUAAGUGGAUCUGCACAGUUCAAACUUGUGUUGUUCAAGAGUCAACUGUAUAAACAAGUAAUUAAAAGCCUGUGUGAUCCAGGACCCAA
RNAcentral lists this small RNA (407 nucleotides) under Pongo abelii (Sumatran orangutan). RNAcentral's name for it is "processed transcript". Lineage: Eukaryota; Metazoa; Chordata; Mammalia; Primates; Hominidae. The record is from RNAcentral.